AUGGGCGCAAGCCUGAUGCAGCGACGCCGCGUGAGGGAUGACGGCCUUCGGGUUGUAAACCUCUUUCAGUACCGACGAAGCGCAAGUGACGGUAGGUACAGAAGAAGCACCGGCCAACUACGUGCCAGCAGCCGCGGUAAUACGUAGGGUGCGAGCGUUGUCCGGAAUUACUGGGCGUAAAGAGCUCGUAGGCGGUUUGUCGCGUCGUCUGUGAAAACCCGCAGCUCAACUGCGGGCUUGCAGGCGAUACGGGCAGACUUGAGUACUGCAGGGGAGACUGGAAUUCCUGGUGUAGCGGUGAAAUGCGCAGAUAUCAGGAGGAACACCGGUGGCGAAGGCGGGUCUCUGGGCAGUAACUGACGCUGAGGAGCGAAAGCGUGGGUAGCGAACAGGAUUAGAUACCCUGGUAGUCCACGCCGUAAACGGUGGGCGCUAGGUGUGGGUUUCCUUCCACGGGAUCCGUGCCGUAGCUAACGCAUUAAGCGCCCCGCCUGGG
Molecule: ribosomal RNA, 496 nt
Filed under: Rhodococcus ruber
Lineage: Bacteria; Bacillati; Actinomycetota; Actinomycetes; Mycobacteriales; Nocardiaceae
Description: bacterial SSU rRNA
Rfam family: Bacterial small subunit ribosomal RNA
Source: RNAcentral